This 709-nucleotide ribosomal RNA is filed under the name uncultured bacterium. Its description in RNAcentral is "bacterial SSU rRNA". It matches the Rfam family "Bacterial small subunit ribosomal RNA", at positions 59 to 769 of the family's 1533-position model. The record is from RNAcentral.
CAGUCGACGGUGAUGAGGAGCUUGCUUCUCUGAUCAGUGGCGAACGGGUGAGUAACACGUGAGCAAUCUGCCCUUGACUCUGGGAUAACUGCGGGAAACUGUAGCUAAUACCGGAUACGACCUGAAGAGGCAUCUUUUUGGGUGGAAAGAAUUUUGGUCAAGGAUGAGCUCGCGGCCUAUCAGCUUGUUGGUGAGGUAAUGGCUCACCAAGGCGACGACGGGUAGCCGGCCUGAGAGGGUGACCGGCCACACUGGGACUGAGACACGGCCCAGACUCCUACGGGAGGCAGCAGUGGGGAAUAUUGCACAAUGGGCGCAAGCCUGAUGCAGCAACGCCGCGUGAGGGACGAAGGCCUUCGGGUUGUAAACCUCUUUUAGUAGGGAAGAAGCGACUGGGUUUUCCUGGGAGUGACGGUACCUGCAGAAAAAGCACCGGCUAACUACGUGCCAGCAGCCGCGGUAAUACGUAGGGUGCAAGCGUUGUCCGGAAUUAUUGGGCGUAAAGAGCUCGUAGGCGGUUUGUCGCGUCUGCUGUGAAAACCCGAGGCUCAACCUCGGGCCUGCAGUGGGUACGGGCAGACUAGAGUGCGGUAGGGGAGAUUGGAAUUCCUGGUGUAGCGGUGGAAUGCGCAGAUAUCAGGAGGAACACCAAUGGCGAAGGCAGAUCUCUGGGCCGUAACUGACGCUGAGGAGCGAAAGCAUGGGGAGC